Molecule: ribosomal RNA, 504 nt
Filed under: uncultured bacterium
Lineage: Bacteria
Description: partial 16S ribosomal RNA
Rfam family: Bacterial small subunit ribosomal RNA
Source: RNAcentral
AUUGAACGCUGGCGGCAGGCCUAACACAUGCAAGUCGAACGGUAGCACAGAGAGCUUGCUCUCGGGUGACGAGUGGCGGACGGGUGAGUAACGUCUGGGAAACUGCCCGAUGGAGGGGGAUAACUACUGGAAACGGUAGCUAAUACCGCAUAACGUCGCAAGACCAAAGUGGGGGACCUUCGGGCCUCACACCAUCGGAUGUGCCCAGAUGGGAUUAGCUAGUAGGUGGGGUAAUGGCUAACCUAGGCGACGAUCCCUAGCUGGUCUGAGAGGAUGACCAGCCACACUGGAACUGAGACACGGUCCAGACUCCUACGGGAGGCAGCAGUGGGGAAUGUUGCACAAUGGGCGCAAGCCUGAUGCAGCCAUGCCGCGUGUAUGAAGAAGGCCUUCGGGUUGUAAAGUACUUUCAGCGGGGAGGAAGGCGGUGAAGUUAAUAACUUCACCGAUUGACGUUACCCGCAGAAGAAGCACCGGCUAACUCCGUGCCAGCAGCCGCCGUAA